Small nuclear RNA from Dipodomys ordii (Ord's kangaroo rat), 107 nucleotides. NCBI's taxonomy places the organism in Eukaryota, Metazoa, Chordata, Mammalia, Rodentia, Heteromyidae. The record is from Ensembl.
AUGCUCACUUCAUCAGAAUACAUAAUAAAAUUGGAAUGAUUCAGAAUAGGUUAUCAUGGCUACUGCACCUGGAUGACAUGCAGAUUCAUGAAGUGUUCCAUAUAUUU